Molecule: ribosomal RNA, 494 nt
Filed under: uncultured bacterium
Lineage: Bacteria
Description: partial 16S ribosomal RNA
Rfam family: Bacterial small subunit ribosomal RNA
Source: RNAcentral
GACGAACGCUGGCGGCGUGCUUAACACAUGCAAGUCGAACGGUGAAGCGCCUUCCUUUUUGGUGGGUGUGGAUGAGUGGCGAACGGGUGAGUAACACGUGAGUAACCUGCCCCCUUCUUCUGGAUAACCGCAUGAAAGUGUGGCUAAUACGGGAUAUUCUGGGUCUGUCGCAUGAUGGGUCUGGGAAAGAUAUUGUUUCGGUGGGGGAUGGGCUCGCGGCCUAUCAGCUUGUUGGUGGGGUGAUGGCCUACCAAGGCGGUGACGGGUAGCCGGCCUGAGAGGGUGGACGGUCACACUGGGACUGAGGCACGGCCCAGACUCCUACGGGAGGCAGCAGUGGGGAAUAUUGGACAAUGGGCGGAAGCCUGAUGCAGCGAGGCCGCGUGAGGGAUGGAGGCCUGCGGGUUGUGAACCUCUUUCGCCAGUGAAGCAGGCCUGCCUCGUUUGUGGGUGGGUUGACGGUAGCUGGAUAAGAAGCGCCGGCUAACUACGUG